Molecule: ribosomal RNA, 665 nt
Filed under: uncultured Micromonosporaceae bacterium
Lineage: Bacteria; Bacillati; Actinomycetota; Actinomycetes; Micromonosporales; Micromonosporaceae
Description: bacterial SSU rRNA
Rfam family: Bacterial small subunit ribosomal RNA
Source: RNAcentral
CUUUGGGAUAACCCUCGGAAACGGGGGCUAAUACCGGAUAUUACUGCUGGACGCAUGUUUGGUGGUGGAAAGUUUUUCGGCCUGGGAUGGGCUCGCGGCCUAUCAGCUUGUUGGUGGGGUGAUGGCCUACCAAGGCGACGACGGGUAGCCGGCCUGAGAGGGCGACCGGCCACACUGGGACUGAGACACGGCCCAGACUCCUACGGGAGGCAGCAGUGGGGAAUAUUGCACAAUGGGCGGAAGCCUGAUGCAGCGACGCCGCGUGAGGGAUGACGGCCUUCGGGUUGUAAACCUCUUUCAGCAGGGACGAAGCGCAAGUGACGGUACCUGCAGAAGAAGCGCCGGCCAACUACGUGCCAGCAGCCGCGGUAAGACGUAGGGCGCGAGCGUUGUCCGGAUUUAUUGGGCGUAAAGAGCUCGUAGGCGGCUUGUCGCGUCGACUGUGAAAACCCGUGGCUCAACUGCGGGCCUGCAGUCGAUACGGGCAGGCUAGAGUUCGGUAGGGGAGACUGGAAUUCCUGGUGUAGCGGUGAAAUGCGCAGAUAUCAGGAGGAACACCGGUGGCGAAGGCGGGUCUCUGGGCCGAUACUGACGCUGAGGAGCGAAAGCGUGGGGAGCGAACAGGAUUAGAUACCCUGGUAGUCCACGCUGUAAACGUUGGGCGC